CCGUAGAACCCGACGCCGCCGGAGGAACGCUCGCCGGCGGAGGACGCGCCGCCACCGGAACUGCCGCAAUGCCCUCGCCCUCAGCCGCCGUAGGCGCACGAGCUGGAGGCGGGGGCAGACCACGGCCCUCAGUUGCAGCUGCAGUUGCCGCCGCAAAAUGCCGCUCCAUAAGCCCUUGGAGCUGCUCAAAUCGACUCUCCUGGCGCUGUACAAUGCCGGCCAAUGCCGACACCUGCGCCCGUAACUCCUGCACUUCACUAGAUCCGGCUUCCUCGGGCACCUCAGAAGACGG
Molecule: long non-coding RNA, 292 nt
Filed under: Ananas comosus (pineapple)
Lineage: Eukaryota; Viridiplantae; Streptophyta; Magnoliopsida; Poales; Bromeliaceae
Description: long non-coding RNA (ACOM_LNC044623)
Source: RNAcentral